Molecule: long non-coding RNA, 187 nt
Organism: Carassius carassius (crucian carp)
Lineage: Eukaryota; Metazoa; Chordata; Actinopteri; Cypriniformes; Cyprinidae
Exons: 3
Source: RefSeq, a predicted model, not a curated record
CCGACAGCCGCGAAGUUUUAAGGUGGUCUGGGACAAGGUUAACCACAGAAUUUUGUUAAGAAAAGCUGUCAGGACAUUCGCCAAACUUUGCCUUGAGAUGUUUCUAAUUUUAUGCCAAACUUGUUGACCCUUUCCUGGACACCAUUAUGCUGAAGCCCAACCAGUUCUGGGUAGAUUAAUGUCUCGU